GGGCCAGUGGGUCAGGAUCUCGGCGACCAGCGCCUCGACCGUGCGGUUGGCACUGGGCCAAGGGCCGAAGUUGAAGCCUUCGCUGGCCUC
Molecule: transfer RNA, 90 nt
Filed under: Antarctobacter albus
Lineage: Bacteria; Pseudomonadati; Pseudomonadota; Alphaproteobacteria; Rhodobacterales; Roseobacteraceae
Description: Mameliella alba tRNA-Ser
Source: RNAcentral